GAUGAACGCUGGCGGCGUGCUUAACACAUGCAAGUCGAACGGAAAGGCCCAAGCUUGCUUGGGUACUCGAGUGGCGAACGGGUGAGUAACACGUGGGUGAUCUGCCCUGCACUUCGGGAUAAGCCUGGGAAACUGGGUCUAAUACCGGAUAGGACCACUUCUUGGAUGGUGUGGUGGAAAGUUUUUUCGGUGUGGGGUGAGCUCGCGGCCUAUCAGCUUGUUGGUGGGGUAAUGGCCUACCAAGGCGUCGACGGGUAGCCGGCCUGAGAGGGUGUACGGCCACAUUGGGACUGAGAUACGGCCCAGACUCCUACGGGGGGCAGCAGUGGGGAAUAUUGCACAAGGGGCGCAGGCCUGAUGCAGCGACGCCGCGUGGGGGAUGACGGCCUUCGGGUUGUAAACUCCUUUCGCUAGGGACGAAGCGUUUUGUGACGGUACCUGGAGAAGAAGCACCGGCUAACUACGUG
Molecule: ribosomal RNA, 467 nt
Filed under: uncultured bacterium
Lineage: Bacteria
Description: partial 16S ribosomal RNA
Rfam family: Bacterial small subunit ribosomal RNA
Source: RNAcentral